This 497-nucleotide ribosomal RNA is filed under the name uncultured bacterium. RNAcentral's name for it is "partial 16S ribosomal RNA". It matches the Rfam family "Bacterial small subunit ribosomal RNA", at positions 28 to 507 of the family's 1533-position model. The record is from RNAcentral.
GAUGAACGCUGGCGGCGUGCCUAAUACAUGCAAGUCGAGCGAACAGACGAGGAGCUUGCUCCUCUGACGUUAGCGGCGGACGGGUGAGUAACACGUGGAUAACCUACCUAUAAGACUGGGAUAACUUCGGGAAACCGGAGCUAAUACCGGAUAAUAUACUGAACCGCAUGGUUCAAUAGUGAAAGACGGUUUUGCUGUCACUUAUAGAUGGAUCCGCGCCGCAUUAGCUAGUUGGUAAGGUAACGGCUUACCAGGGCGACGAUGCGUAGCCGACCUGAGAGGGUGAUCGGCCACACUGGAACUGAGACACGGUCCAGACUCCUACGGGAGGCAGCAGUAGGGAAUCUUCCGCAAUGGGCGAAAGCCUGACGGAGCAACGCCGCGUGAGUGAUGAAGGUCUUCGGAUCGUAAAACUCUGUUAUUAGGGAAGAACAAAUGUGUAAGUAACUAUGCACGUCUUGACGGUACCUAAUCAGAAAGCCACGGCUAACUACGUG